RNAcentral lists this ribosomal RNA (523 nucleotides) under uncultured bacterium. Its description in RNAcentral is "bacterial SSU rRNA". It matches the Rfam family "Bacterial small subunit ribosomal RNA", at positions 9 to 517 of the family's 1533-position model. The record is from RNAcentral.
GAGUUUGAUCUUGGCUCAGAACGAACGCUGGCGGCGUGGAUAAGACAUGCAAGUCGAACGCGACUUAUUUGAUUAGCAAUAAUUAGAUAAGUUGAGUGGCGAAAGGGUGCGUAACACGUGGGAAUUUACCAAAAAGUGGGGGAAUAGCUUGGCGAAAGCCAAAAUUAAUACCGCAUGUGAUCGAAAGAUCAAAGUCGGGGACCGCAAGGCCUGACGCUUUUUGAGAAGCCCGCGGCCCAUCAGCUAGUUGGCGAGGUAAAAGCUCACCAAGGCUAUGACGGGUAGCUGGUCUGAGAGGACGACCAGCCACACUGGAACUGAGACACGGUCCAGACACCUACGGGUGGCAGCAGUCGAGAAUUUUUCACAAUGGACGAAAGUCUGAUGGAGCGACGCCGCGUGGAGGAUGAAGGUUUUCGGAUUGUAAACUCCUGUCACUGCAGAACAAGGUACGCUAGUUACAGCCAGCGUAUUUGAUGGUAUGCGGAGAGGAAGGGACGGCUAACGUCUGUGCCAGCCGCCG